This 449-nucleotide ribosomal RNA is filed under the name Diogenes holthuisi. RNAcentral describes it as "partial large subunit ribosomal RNA". Lineage: Eukaryota; Metazoa; Arthropoda; Malacostraca; Decapoda; Diogenidae. The record is from RNAcentral.
CAAAAUGAAUUUAAUUCACGCUUUAUUUAAAAUGUAAAUAGGGCUAAAGAGUGAAAAGGUGAGCUUUUUGUUCUAAUAAUAAAAUAAAUAUAAGUUAAUACUCAUAUUAUUAUAAAAAUAGGCUUAUAAGUAGCCAUUAUAAUAGGGUGUUUUAACCAAUACUGUUUAAGUAAAUAAUAUUUAAAAUAGCUUUAUUUUUGUAGUUUAACUUGUUAAUAAUUUAAAAAAUAAGAGGGAUUAUGUUGUUAUUAGUAUAAUUUUAUUAUAUUUAAGAAAAAAAAAAUUAGUUUUUAAAUAAUUUUAAGUAAAUUAUGAUAUUUAAAAAGAACUCGGCAAAUGUGAUUCUUACCUGUUUAACAAAAACAUGUCUAUAUGAAGGUGAAUAUAGUUUAACCUGCUCACUGAUUAAAUUAAAGAGCCGCAGUAUUUUGACUGUGCCAAGGUAGCAU